Molecule: long non-coding RNA, 1497 nt
Filed under: Homo sapiens (human)
Lineage: Eukaryota; Metazoa; Chordata; Mammalia; Primates; Hominidae
Description: non-protein coding lnc-NAA35-6:6
Source: RNAcentral
UGAUGGUACAGGAAAACAAAGGGCAUGCUGUAUCUUUGAAAGAAGCGCAAAAAGUGAAUAGACUGCAGGAUCAACUGAGUGAAGAACUAACAAAACUUAACCUGUCAGUGACUUCUUCAGCUAAAGAAAAUUGUGGAGACGGGCCAGAUGCCAGGAUCCCUGAAAAGAGACCAUAUACUGUACCAUUUGAUACUCAUUUGGGGCAUUAUAUUUAUAUCCCAUCAAGACAAGAUUCCAGGAGGGGGAAUCACUUGCAAGGUCCACACAAGUCCGCCUAUGUACUCUCUGGAUCGAAUAUUUGCUGGAUUUCGAACACAAAGUCAGAUGCUGUUGGAUCACGUAGAAGAACGAGAUGAGGUCCUCCACUGCCAAUUUUCUGAUAACAGUGAUGAUGAAGAAUCAGAAGGCCAAGAGAAAUCUGGAACUAGAUGUAGAAGUCGUUCAUGGAUUCAGAAGCCAGACUCUGUUCCCUUGUUGAAUUGAGUGAUACUCAGGAUGAAACACAAAAGUCAGAUUCGGAGAAUGAAGAUUUAAAGAUUGAUUGUCUCCAGGAGAGUCAAGAAUUGAAUUUGCAAAAAUUAAAGAAUUCAGAACGCAUACUUACUGAAGCCAAACAAAAAAUGAGAGAACUUACAGUUAACAUCAAGAUGAAGGAAGAUCUGAUUAAAGAAUUAAUAAAAACAGGUGUAACGAUGCCAAGUCUGUAAGCAAGCAGUAUACUUUGAAAGUAACAAAGCUAGAGCAUGAUGCAGAACAGGCAAAAGUCGAACUAACUGAAACACAAAAGCAGCUACAGGAGCUGGAAAACAAAGAUCUUUCUGAUGUUGCAAUGAAGGUAAAAUUACAGAAAGAGUUUCGUAAAAAGGUGGAUGCUGCAAAGCUGAGAGUUCAGGUCUUACAGAAGAAGCAACAAGAUAGUAAGAAACUGGCAUCACUGUCAAUCCAAAAUGAGAAACGUGCUAAUGAACUAGAGCAGAGUGUAGAUCACAUGAAAUAUCAAAAGAUACAGCUACAAAGAAAACUACAAGAAGAAAAUGAAAAAAGGAAGCAACUGGAUGCAGUAAUUAAGCGGGACCAGCAAAAAAUCUGUUAAACGGCUCAGAGCUAACGAAUCCAUGGUCUUCAUUCAGUUGGCUUGUGAAGUAUCUAUCCUUGACUUGCCCUUCACUGCUGUCCUUAUUCACUUUAAAGCUUUGUUCAUCUACAUAGUAAAACCUAUUUAUUGAAUUUUGAGUACUGUCUUGAAGGCUUUGACUUCACAAAAGAAGGUACAAUGAUAAUUUCUCUUAGGAGGAUCCUAACUUUAAUUGAAGCUGCCAAAAACAUGCAUUUAUAAAGCCAGCUUUCUAAAUAAUACCUAUCAUUUGAAUAGGAUUUUCUGUUUUCAAAGUGCUUUGACAUGCAUUGUCCAUGUGGCUACACGGAAAAAGUACCAGGUAAAGUGGUACCAUUUCAUUCACAGUGAGCAGAAAAAUGAUCAGACCUGUAUGCACAGCA